RNAcentral lists this ribosomal RNA (207 nucleotides) under uncultured bacterium. RNAcentral describes it as "partial 16S ribosomal RNA". It matches the Rfam family "Bacterial small subunit ribosomal RNA", at positions 568 to 774 of the family's 1533-position model. The record is from RNAcentral.
CGCGUAGGCGGACCAUCAAGUCGGAUGUGAAAACUGGCGGCUCAACUGCCAGCCUGCAUUCGAUACUGUUGGUCUUGAGUACAGUAGGGGAAGGCGGAAUUCCAGGUGUAGCGGUGAAAUGCGUAGAUAUCUGGAAGAACACCAGUAGCGAAGGCGGCUUUCUGGACUGAUACUGACGCUGAAGCGCGAAGGCCAGGGGAGCAAACA